CGUGUAGGCGGUCCGGUAAGUCCGCUGUGAAAGUCGGGGGCUCAACCCUCGGAUGCCGGUGGAUACUGUUGGGCUUGAGUACGGAAGAGGCGAGUGGAAUUCCUGGUGUAGCGGUGAAAUGCGCAGAUAUCAGGAGGAACACCAAUUGCGAAGGCAGCUCGCUGGGACGUUACUGACGCUGAGACGCGAAAGCGUGGGAGCAAACA
This 206-nucleotide ribosomal RNA is filed under the name uncultured bacterium. RNAcentral describes it as "partial 16S ribosomal RNA". It matches the Rfam family "Bacterial small subunit ribosomal RNA", at positions 568 to 774 of the family's 1533-position model. The record is from RNAcentral.